This 31-nucleotide ribosomal RNA is filed under the name Sporobolus australasicus. RNAcentral's name for it is "partial 28S ribosomal RNA". The record is from RNAcentral. Lineage: Eukaryota; Viridiplantae; Streptophyta; Magnoliopsida; Poales; Poaceae.
GCGACCCCAGGUCAGUCGGGAUUACCCGCUG